AGAGCGAACGCUGGCGGCGUGCUUAACACAUGCAAGUCGAGUGCGCAGCUUUCUGUAGCAAUACAGGAAGUGGGCGCACGGCGCACGGGUGAGUAACACGUGGGCAACCUGCCCUCCAAAGGGGGAUAACCCGCCGAAAGGCGGGCUAAUACCGCAUGACAUUCCGGGAACCUCGGUUCCUGGAUUCAAAGGCCGAAAGGCCGUUGGGGGAGGGGCUCGCGCCCGAUUAGCUUGUUGGCGAGGUAAUGGCUCACCAAGGCUUUGAUCGGUAGCCGGUCUGAGAGGAUGGCCGGCCACACUGGAACUGAGACACGGUCCAGACUCCUACGGGAGGCAGCAGUGGGGAAUAUUGGACAAUGGGCGCAAGCCUGAUCCAGCCAUGCCGCGUGAGUGAUGAAGGCCCUAGGGUUGUAAAGCUCUUUGUGCGGGAAGAUAAUGACGGUACCGCAAGAAUAACGCCCGGCUAACUUCGUGCCAGCAGCCGC
Molecule: ribosomal RNA, 485 nt
Filed under: uncultured bacterium
Lineage: Bacteria
Description: SSU rRNA
Rfam family: Bacterial small subunit ribosomal RNA
Source: RNAcentral